RNAcentral lists this ribosomal RNA (305 nucleotides) under uncultured bacterium. RNAcentral's name for it is "bacterial SSU rRNA". It matches the Rfam family "Bacterial small subunit ribosomal RNA", at positions 496 to 802 of the family's 1533-position model. The record is from RNAcentral.
GCUCCUACGGGGGGCAGCAGCCGCGGUAAUACGGAGGAUGCGAGCGUUAUCCGGAUUUAUUGGGUUUAAAGGGUGCGCAGGCGGACCAUCAAGUCAGCGGUAAAAUCGUGGGGCCCAACCCCAUCCCGCCGUUGAAACUGGCGGUCUUGAGUGAGCGAGAAGUAUGCGGAAUGCGUGGUGUAGCGGUGAAAUGCAUAGAUAUCACGCAGAACUCCGAUUGCGAAGGCAGCAUACCGGCGCUCAACUGACGCUCAUGCACGAAAGCGUGGGGAUCGAACAGGAUUAGAUACCCUGUAGUCCAACAA